GGAGGGUUGGCAGAGUGGUUGAUUGCACCGGUCUUGAAAACCGGCAAGGGGGCAACCCCUUCCAGGGUUCGAAUCCCUGACCCUCCGCCA
RNAcentral lists this transfer RNA (90 nucleotides) under Halothiobacillus sp. RNAcentral describes it as "tRNA-Ser". It matches the Rfam family "tRNA". From Rfam's summary of the family: Transfer RNA (tRNA) molecules are approximately 80 nucleotides in length. Their secondary structure includes four short double-helical elements and three loops (D, anti-codon, and T loops). Lineage: Bacteria; Pseudomonadati; Pseudomonadota; Gammaproteobacteria; Chromatiales; Halothiobacillaceae. The record is from RNAcentral.